GUGGGGAAUAUUGGGCAAUGGGCGAAAGCCUGACCCAGCAACGCCGCGUGAAGGAAGAAGGAUCUAUGGUUCGUAAACUUCUUUUGCAGGGGAAUAAAGUGCAGGACGUGUCCUGUUUUGUAUGUACCCUGAGAAUAAGGAUCGGCUAACUCCGUGCCAGCAGCCGCGGUAAUACGGAGGAUCCGAGCGUUAUCCGGAUUUAUUGGGUUUAAAGGGUGCGUAGGUGGUUUGAUAAGUCAGCGGUGAAAGUUUGCAGCUUAACUGUAAAAAUGCCGUUGAAACUGUCGGACUUGAGUGUAAAUGAGGUAGGCGGAAUGCGUGGUGUAGCGGUGAAAUGCAUAGAUAUCACGCAGAACUCCGAUUGCGAAGGCAGCUUACUAAGCUACAACUGACACUGAAGCACGAAAGCGUGGGGAUCAAACAGGAUUAGAAACCCGGGUAGUCC
Molecule: ribosomal RNA, 445 nt
Filed under: uncultured bacterium
Lineage: Bacteria
Description: partial 16S ribosomal RNA
Rfam family: Bacterial small subunit ribosomal RNA
Source: RNAcentral